GACGAACGCUGGCGGCGUGCCUAAUACAUGCAAGUAGAACGCACAGUUUAUACCGUAGCUUGCUACACCAUAGACUGUGAGUUGCGAACGGGUGAGUAACGCGUAGGUAACCUGCCUGGUAGCGGGGGAUAACUAUUGGAAACGAUAGCUAAUACCUCAUAAUAUUGAUUAUUGCAUGAUAAUUGAUUGAAAGUUGCUAUUGCAUCACUACCAGAUGGACCUGCGUUGUAUUAGCUAGUAGGUGAGGUAACGGCUCACCUAGGCGACGAUACAUAGCCGACCUGAGAGGGUGAUCGGCCACACUGGGACUGAGACACGGCCCAGACUCCUACGAGAGGCAGCAGUAGGGAAUCUUCGGCAAUGGACGAAAGUCUGACCGAGCAACGCCGCGUGAGUGAAGAAGGUUUUCGGAUCGUAAAGCUCUGUUGUAAGAGAAGAACGGGUGUGAGAGUGGAAAGUUCACACUGUGACGGUAUCUUACCAGAAAGGGACGGCUAACUACGUG
Molecule: ribosomal RNA, 505 nt
Filed under: uncultured bacterium
Lineage: Bacteria
Description: partial 16S ribosomal RNA
Rfam family: Bacterial small subunit ribosomal RNA
Source: RNAcentral